UCGGGGGGUUUGUCCCGGUGCUGGAGGGGCAGAGCGCCCCGUCCUGGGGUCCCCGCUCCCCCGCCUCCCCCUGCAGAGAGCACCACCAGCACGAGACAUUUACAGUGUUUUAUUGACUAGGAAAAUAAAUUUCUCACAGCUAAAAAUAAAAGCUCGUAAGCUACGACGGUGUCUCCUUAUACGAGGAAAAAUGGAAGCUCAUUUUUGUAAGAAAUGCUGGCCAGUCUUUUAAAAAACUAAUUUACUUCCUCUAGUCCCCUGUCCCCAAUAACCCAUCAUUAAAUACUAAAAACAAGGAUGUGAAAGAGGUGUGCAAGAAACGCGUGGCUCAUUGCUGAUAAUUUGUACUCCUUUGUUUGCAUUAAGUUGCAGAGGUGGUUUGGCAGGGCGGGAAGGGGCCAGCGCUGCCACCGCGGGGGGACGCCGGAGGUGAGGGGCGCCCGUCCUUGUCCUGCCGCGGCUGCGGACCCCGGCGGCACGGCUGCAGGAACGGCUCUGGCCCUUCGCCCGACGCGAGCGGCAGCAUCACUGCGCUGAUUUAUGUUACCGAGCGCCGUAUCCCUUCCCUUCCGAAGGUACGCGCUGUCCACCACGGAUGAAGAAGCACCAGGAGAAGUACUCGGAAAGGAGGCCCAGGCGGGCUUUGAGAGAAGCACGCGUCUGUGACACUUGGCAUUCAAAAAAGGCUCCUGAGGCGAUGAGAAGAGUGCAAAAGUGCAGUAGCAUGCCACGGGCCCUCCUUGCGUUGCGCUACAACCCCAGUUAAACACCAUCCACCAAGUGCUUCCUGGAGCAGGUCUUUCCCAGCGGAAUUGUGUCUGCGGGAGGCACAAGGAACGACCACGCUCAGCUAGUGCGUCGGUCGCACAGCCCAGGGAGGCCGACCCGGACGCUGGUUCAUCCAGCCCCCAGGUCCAACGAAGCCACGUCAGGAAGGCUUUGGUUUCUGGGCUGAAAGCUGAGGAAGGUGAGUGCAGGAACACCGGGAACAGGACAGGUAAGAACAGUGUGCGCACGGGUGUUGCCGGUGGUGCAGCACGUGCAGUGCACAGGUCUCUGCUGCUGUCACCGAGCUCUCGGCAUUAUGGCUGCUGCUGAUACUGGCUCUCUGUUGCAGUAAAGAAAUCCUCCAAAAUGCUCUGUGUGUACUCGAAGGUAGGACGAUCCUCUGGUUUAGUCUUCCAGCACCUCAUCAUAAUGUCAUACAGCUCCUCGGGGCAGUUCUCGGUGCGCGGCAUCCGGUACCCGCGAUCCAGGGCCCUGAUCACCUCCACGCUUGACAUCCCUAGGGAAACGGGGCAGGAGAGGAGCCUGGGUGAAUACCUCAUGGGCUGCUUAAAAGGCAAAAACCCAACACCCUACUGUCCAAAGGGUGGAGGAAAAGGACAGGUUAGAGGAGCAAGGGCUGAGGGAAGGAGAAGUCAUUUUACUCCCAUUCUGGGAAACAUGCAAACAACAGAGAUGCUGAGAUACUUGUAGCAACAACCAUCAGUUUUGUAUCCCAGUUGAGCAGAUUAGAUGGGAACUGUAAUCAUUUUGUAUAAAAUUCCAAAAAAUAAAGGCCAAACUUUUCUGUCUGCUGA
Dromaius novaehollandiae (emu) is the source of this 1583-nucleotide long non-coding RNA. RefSeq lists it as uncharacterized. The transcript has 2 exons. Lineage: Eukaryota; Metazoa; Chordata; Aves; Casuariiformes; Dromaiidae. The record is from RefSeq and is a predicted model, not a curated record.